GAACUUAAGCAUAUCAAUAAGCGGAGGAAAAGAAACCAACAGGGAUUGCCUCAGUAACGGCGAGUGAAGCGGCAACAGCUCAAAUUUGAAAUCUGGCUCUUUCAGGGUCCGAGUUGUAAUUUGUAGAAGAUGCUUUGGGUGUAGCUCCGGUCUAAGUUCCUUGGAACAGGACGUCAUAGAGGGUGAGAAUCCCGUAUGUGACUGGGUGCUUUCGCUCGUGUAAAGCUCUUUCGACGAGUCGAGUUGUUUGGGAAUGCAGCUCAAAAUGGGUGGUAAAUUUCAUCUAAAGCUAAAUAUUGGCCAGAGACCGAUAGCGCACAAGUAGAGUGAUCGAAAGAUGAAAAGCACUUUGGAAAGAGAGUUAAACAGUACGUGAAAUUGUUGAAAGGGAAGCGCUUGCAACCAGACUUGCGCGCUGUUGAUCAUCCGAGCUUUUGCCCGGUGCACUCGGCAGCGUUCAGGCCAGCAUCGGUUUUGGUGGGCGGAUAAAGGCCUUGGGAAUGUAGCUUCUUUCGGGGAGUGUUAUAGCCCUCGGUGCAAUGCGCCCUACCGGGACCGAGGACCGCGCUUCGGCUAGGAUGCUGGCGUAAUGGUUGUAAGCGACCCGUCUUGAAACACGGACCAAGGAGUCUAACAUCUAUGCGAGUGUUUGGGUGUCAAACCCAUACGCGUAAUGAAAGUGAACGGAGGUGAGAACCCUUAAGGGUGCAUCAUCGACCGAUCCUGAUGUCUUCGGAUGGAUUUGAGUAAGAGCAUAGCCGUUGGGACCCGAAA
Molecule: ribosomal RNA, 774 nt
Filed under: uncultured fungus
Lineage: Eukaryota; Fungi
Description: eukaryotic LSU rRNA
Rfam family: Eukaryotic large subunit ribosomal RNA
Source: RNAcentral